UCAAGCUACUAAGGGUGUACGGUGGAUGCCUUGGCUUCAGUAGGCGAUGAAGGACGUGUUAAGCUGCGAUAAGCUUUGGUGAGGGGCAAAAACCCGUUAUUAACCAGAGAUUUCCGAAUGGGAAAACCCAGCAGGGGUAAUGCUCUGUUAUUGGUGUGUGAAUUAAAUAGCGCAUCAAGGCGAUACCCGGUGAAUUGAAACAUCUUAGUAACCGGAGGAAAAUAAAACAAUAGUGAUUCCGUAAGUAGUGGCGAGCGAACGCGGAACAGCCCAAAAUACCCUGUUUACAGGGUAUGGUGUGGACCACAAUGUGGUACUUGAAUGGAUAGCAGAAUCAACUGGAAAGUUGAGCCAUAGCGGGUGAUAGCCCCUUAAGCGAAAUCCUGACAAGACCUAGUGGUAUCCCGAGUAGGUCGGAACACGUGAAACUCUGACUGAAUAUAGGAGGCCCACCUCCUAAGGCUAAAUACUAACUGAAGACCGAUAGCGUACUAGUACCGUGAGGGAAAGGUGAAAAGAACCCCUGGAGGGGAGUGAAAUAGAACCUGAAACCGUGCACUUACAAACUGUGGUAGCCCUUCGGGGUGGCCGCAUGCCUUUUGCAUAAUGAGUCUGCGACUUACCGUAUGUGGCAAGGUUAAGCAUCAACGAUGUGGAGCCGAAGCGAAAGCGAGUGUUAAUAGCGCGAAAUGAGUCGCCUGCGGUAGACCCGAAACCUGGUGAGCUACCCAUGGACAGGAUGAAGCUUCUUUAAACGGAAGUGGAAGACCGAACCAGUACGUGUUGAAAAACGUUUGGAUGAUCUGUGGGUCGGAGUGAAAGGCUAACCAAACCAGGUGAUAGCUGGUUCUCCCCGAAAUACCUUGAGGGAUAGCGUCGAUGAAUGCAAUUCACGGAGGUAGAGCACUGAUUACUUAAUGGUCCCUCCCGGGAUACUGAGAGUUGUCAAACUCCGAAUACCGUGAACGUCACAUCGGCAGUCAGACUGCGGGGGAUAAGCUCCGUAGUCGAGAGGGAAACAGCCCAGACCGCCAGCUAAGGCCCCUAAAUGAUAGUUAAGUGGAGAAGGAUGUUAGAUUGCGAAGACAGCUAGGAUGUUGGCUUAGAAGCAGCCACCAUUUAAACAAAGCGUAAUAGCUGACUAGUCGAGUGGUUUAGCGCCGAAAAUGAUCGGGGCUCAAACUAUCUGCCGAAGCUGCGGGUUUUAACUACUGUUAAAGCAGUAGGGGAGCGUUGUGUACCGGGUUGAAGGGAAGGUGGAAACCGACCUGGACUGUACACAAGUGAUUAUGCAGACAUGAGUAACGAUAAGACAGGUGAGAAUCCUGUCCGCCGAAAUCCUAAGGUUUCCUGGGGAAGGUUCGUCCGCCCAGGGUUAGUCGGCCCCUAAGGCAAGGCUGAAAAGCGUAGUCGAUGGGAAACGGGUUUAAUAUUCCCGUACCGCUGUAUGUGAGUGAUGGAGGGACGCAGGAGGUUAGGUCAGCUGCCGAUUGGAAAUGGCAGUCUAAGUGCGUAGGGCAUUGAAUAGGAAAAUCCGUUCAUGUUUGCCUGAGACACGAUGGGACUUGGAGUCUUCGGACAAAGAGGAUUGGUUGAUGCCAUGCUGCCGAGAAAAGCUUCUAAACGUUGAAUGUAAAGCGACCGUACCAAAACCGACACAGGUGGGAGGGUAGAGUAUACCAAGGCGCGCGAGAGAAAAGUUGUUAAGGAACUCGGCAAAUUAACCCCGUAUCUUCGGAAGAAGGGGUCCUCGAGUUGGCUAGCAAUUUACUUGUAAUGUUAAUUCGAGGCGCAGUGAAAAGGCGAAGGCGACUGUUUAUCAAAAACAUAGCACUAUGCUAACUCGUAAGAGGAUGUAUAUGGUGUGACACGUGACCAAUGCCAAAAGGUUAAGGCAAGGGGUUAGCUCUUGAAGCGAAGCUCUAAACCGAAGCCCUGGUGAAUGUCGGCCGUAACUAUAACGGUCCUAAGGUAGCGAAAUUCCUUGUCGGGUAAGUUCCGACCUGCACGAAUCGU
Molecule: ribosomal RNA, 2016 nt
Filed under: marine sediment metagenome
Description: bacterial LSU rRNA
Rfam family: Bacterial large subunit ribosomal RNA
Source: RNAcentral